UGCCUUUAGCAAGGUGAAGAGGUCUGCCC
RNAcentral lists this non-coding RNA (29 nucleotides) under Homo sapiens (human). The record is from RNAcentral. Lineage: Eukaryota; Metazoa; Chordata; Mammalia; Primates; Hominidae.